Molecule: non-coding RNA, 233 nt
Filed under: Eubacterium sp.
Lineage: Bacteria; Bacillati; Bacillota; Clostridia; Eubacteriales; Eubacteriaceae
Description: T-box sequence
Rfam family: T-box leader
About the family: Uncharged tRNA acts as the effector for transcription antitermination of genes in the T-box leader family. T-boxes are found upstream of many aminoacyl-tRNA synthetase genes and some amino acid biosynthetic genes usually in Gram-positive bacteria.
Source: RNAcentral
AAAAAGGCGGAGAACGAAAAGAGUACCGUUUUGCCGGGAUACAGAGAGAGGAUGCCGGAGGCUGGAAGCAUCCUUAUCCGCGGGAACCGGGAAAGUGCAUUCGGGAGCCGGCGGUGCGAAGGCCCUUUUACCGGGCGGGAGUGCCGCACGUACCAGGCGUUAACGGUGUAAGGGGAGGCCCCGGAUUUCGGGGCGUCAAACAGAGUGGAACCGCGGAUAACUUCGUCUCUUUU